Hippocampus comes (tiger tail seahorse) is the source of this 1120-nucleotide long non-coding RNA. RefSeq lists it as uncharacterized. The transcript has 3 exons. Lineage: Eukaryota; Metazoa; Chordata; Actinopteri; Syngnathiformes; Syngnathidae. The record is from RefSeq and is a predicted model, not a curated record.
GUGUUCCGCAUCCUGACUGGCUUAAGGGAUCGUAGACAAAUGUCAACAGUCUCCACGCCUCAUCGCUGGACAGCUAGCCAAAUUUACGUUUGCAACAAAAACAGCCUGCAGCCUGAAUCUGAACAACUCCAUCCCGCCACGCAUAGGCCGCGCUUCUGACGUCACCUCUGACCCAGCCGCUGGCUCGCUCCAUUCGCUCUCCCUGAACGUCUUCACAAGCGUGAGGAGGAUAAGCAGGGUGGAGUGUGAGACGUGACUGCGGAUUGGAGAACUAUACAAGCACCCCAUGCAAAUGAAACAAGACAUUCCCAUUCAACAAAGACAAUCACAACCCAACGCAUGAAAACGAAACAAAAUAAAUCAACAAAAAUAAGGUGGGUUCUUUUUUUAUGAUGUAUUUUUUUUUAAGCAUUUUUGUCAAAUUUUCUGCACGUAUUUGACCCUGAAUGACUAGGCUAACCCUAGUUUAAAACUAUACUGUGAAACCCUAACCGCAGUUUAAAACCCGACUUUGAAAGCCUGACCCUAUUUGAAAUCCCUUAUGUUGGAACCUUAACCCAAAUGUAAAACCCUACAUUUAAACCCUAACCCAAGUUUCAACCCUACUUUGACAAGCUAACCGUAACACUGUAUAUGUCAUGUGUGUCUUGAUUGUGUUCCAGCUGCAGCUGGAGCGAAAGGCGAUUCCCUCCAGCAGGUGCCGUGUGAGUUUCUCGACCUCUCGAUAUAUUCACUCACUCUUGUUUUUUCAUAGGCUCUUGUUUAUAAGUGUUUUUGUUAUUGUAGUAUUGCACAAGGGGUUCAUUUGCAAAGCGAUUUUGGUUUCACGCCUUGUUUUUCCUGACGCUUUGUGACCAGCGACUUCAGUUCAUACUUUGGUCAAUGCGAUUUUCUUUGGUAAAUAUUUUUGUGAUCACCCUUUGUCUGAGCGUGCAUCUUUGGAAUUCUUUCACAUUAUUUGAUUUGGUCACAACCUAACAAUAUAUAUAUAAAACCCUAACCCUGAUUCAAAACCCUGUUUUGUAAACCUACUUUAAAACCCUACUUUGAACCCCUAACCCAAGUUUAAAACCAUACUGUGAAACCCUAAAUCCAGUUUAAAGCCCCAACCCUAUUUUCA